Molecule: long non-coding RNA, 444 nt
Filed under: Sorghum bicolor (sorghum)
Lineage: Eukaryota; Viridiplantae; Streptophyta; Magnoliopsida; Poales; Poaceae
Description: long non-coding RNA (SBIC_LNC017440)
Source: RNAcentral
AGCACUGGACACAGGGGAAGGACUGUUGCUGGGUGGUGAAGGGAGUGAGUCUCAGCAGCAGUUUGGAGGAAGAUAGAACUAUUGUGAGCACUGGCAUCCUAAGGACUUCCUAGGGGUAAAGUAGCUCUGCUUGUUUCGUUGCAGCGACCAGAAAGCCAGAACAUAAUAUAAUAUAGAAGUCUUUAGAACGAUGUAUACAAAUGUCUCGCAGCAACUCCUGUACGCGACCAGACUAGGGCUUUGUUUACUUCCUCCGUAAAAUUCAAAAUUUUUCAAAAUUUUCCAUCACAUCGAAUGUGUGAAGGCCUCAGAAAAAAAUAAGGCAAAAAAACUAAAAAAAAUUCUUCCCCGAAUAUCUUCCUUGGCUUUUGGGGAAGAGACUCUUCGCGAUUGCCAAGCCCACAACACUCGAGGAAGCCAACAUUUUCCUCGAGAGUCGUACCA